GUGAGGAAUAUUGGUCAAUGGGCGGGAGCCUGAACCAGCCAAGUCGCGUGAAGGAAGAAGGAUCUAUGGUUCGUAAACUUCUUUUGCAGGGGAAUAAAGUGCAGGACGUGUCCUGUUUUGUAUGUACCCUGAGAAUAAGGAUCGGCUAACUCCGUGCCCGCAGCCGCGGUAAUACGGAGGAUCCGAGCGUUAUCCGGAUUUAUUGGGUUUAAAGGGUGCGUAGGUGGUUUGAUAAGUCAGCGGUGAAAGUUUGCAGCUUAACUGUAAAAAUGCCGUUGAAACUGUCGGACUUGAGUGUAAAUGAGGUAGGCGGAAUGCGUGGUGUAGCGGUGAAAUGCAUAGAUAUCACGCAGAACUCCGAUUGCGAAGGCAGCUUACUAAGCUACAACUGACACUGAAGCACGAAAGCGUGGGGAUCAAACAGGAUUAGAUACCCUUGUAGUCC
Molecule: ribosomal RNA, 445 nt
Filed under: uncultured bacterium
Lineage: Bacteria
Description: partial 16S ribosomal RNA
Rfam family: Bacterial small subunit ribosomal RNA
Source: RNAcentral